Molecule: small RNA, 143 nt
Filed under: Flavobacterium resistens
Lineage: Bacteria; Pseudomonadati; Bacteroidota; Flavobacteriia; Flavobacteriales; Flavobacteriaceae
Description: Flavo-1 RNA
Rfam family: Flavo-1 RNA
Source: RNAcentral
UUUUAGCCCAGAUGGAAAUGGAAACCCCGGACUUAUAUUUGUUUGUUUUUUUUGGAAUAAAAGAGCGACCAACGGAAGCUCCUUUUAUGACUUUAAAAAACAACAAAUAUAAGGAGGAGUUGUAAUGUACAGCUGGAUUGGCU